RNAcentral lists this ribosomal RNA (809 nucleotides) under uncultured bacterium. Its description in RNAcentral is "bacterial SSU rRNA". It matches the Rfam family "Bacterial small subunit ribosomal RNA", at positions 1 to 778 of the family's 1533-position model. The record is from RNAcentral.
UCGGCUUAGAGUUUGAUCAUGGCUCAGGAUGAACGCUGGCGGCGUGCCUAAUACAUGCAAGUCGAACGAAACUUCUUUAUCACCGAGUGCUUGCACUCACCGAUAAAGAGUUGAGUGGCGAACGGGUGAGUAACACGUGGGCAACCUGCCCAAAAGAGGGGGAUAACACUUGGAAACAGGUGCUAAUACCGCAUAACCAUAGUUACCGCAUGGUAACUAUGUAAAAGGUGGCUAUGCUACCGCUUUUGGAUGGGCCCGCGGCGCAUUAGCUAGUUGGUGAGGUAAAGGCUUACCAAGGCAAUGAUGCGUAGCCGAACUGAGAGGUUGAUCGGCCACAUUGGGACUGAGACACGGCCCAAACUCCUACGGGAGGCAGCAGUAGGGAAUCUUCCACAAUGGGCGAAAGCCUGAUGGAGCAACGCCGCGUGGGUGAAGAAGGUCUUCGGAUCGUAAAACCCUGUUGUUAGAGAAGAAAGUGCGUGAGAGUAACUGUUCACGUUUCGACGGUAUCUAACCAGAAAGCCACGGCUAACUACGUGCCAGCAGCCGCGGUAAUACGUAGGUGGCAAGCGUUAUCCGGAUUUAUUGGGCGUAAAGGGAACGCAGGCGGUCUUUUAAGUCUGAUGUGAAAGCCUUCGGCUUAACCGGAGUAGUGCAUUGGAAACUGGGAGACUUGAGUGCAGAAGAGGAGAGUGGAACUCCAUGUGUAGCGGUGAAAUGCGUAGAUAUAUGGAAGAACACCAGUGGCGAAAGCGGCUCUCUGGUCUGUAACUGACGCUGAGGUUCGAAAGCGUGGGAGCAAACAGAUU